RNAcentral lists this ribosomal RNA (813 nucleotides) under Triticum aestivum (bread wheat). RNAcentral's name for it is "partial small subunit ribosomal RNA". Lineage: Eukaryota; Viridiplantae; Streptophyta; Magnoliopsida; Poales; Poaceae. The record is from RNAcentral.
AUGCCGCCGCGGCCAAGUUCGCCGCCCAACGCGAUGCGAUGGAGGCCGCGUGGCACAAGGCCGCGGUCGACGAGAAGGAGGACAUCAUCAACAAAGCGCACACCCUCCUCAUGCUUGGCAUGGGCCGUCGGCCCGGCGAGCACAAACUCGUCGGUCGCCCGGCCUCCGCACUGCCAGUCACCGACGUCGCGGACCACGCCCAUGUCGCCCGACUUUCCUCUGCCAAGGCACGACGGCCAGACCCGUUUCUCGGGGUCGCCGGACGUCGGCUUGUUCGCGCCGUCCACACUGCGCCCCGCGGCCAUCAUCGACCUCAACGUCACGCCUGGGUCCAACAGCGGCGGCCGGCCGGCCGUCGAGAUGCAAAGGAAGCAAGCACGGGCACCGUUCACGGGCACCAUGCCGGCCCCUCGCAUCUUGUUUGGCGGAAUGCCAACACCAACGCCAACGGUUGACGACCCCUUCUACAACCAGUACAUGGAGGACGUGAUCUUCGAGGGUGGGCAUGGUCGUGCCUACGACCCCGAGGAGACCCAAAGUCAGGAUGGCCGCGCCCAGUACGUGCCCGAUGAAGAGGCUGACGACCGUGCUGACUACGACCAUGGUGACUCGUGGCAUGAAGACGAUGACAUGUAUGUCGAAGGUGACGGUGAUGAAAAAGAAGGCAAUGACGUUGAUAUUAGUGACGAGCCAUUGUUCAUCGACGAGCUCACCCAAAGAGCGGAAGCACAAAAGAAGAGGAAGAGCAUUCGCACGGGUUCAUAUACACAAGAUGAGGACAAAGUUGAUUUGCCAAGCUUGGAUGGAGAUUAG